AAGUACGCUCGUAGCAGUCGAGCGGAUGACGGGAGCUUGCUCCUUGAUUAGCGGCGGACGGGUGAGUAAUGCCUAGGAAUCUGCCUGGUAGUGGGGGACAACGUUUCGAAAGGAACGCUAAUACCGCAUACGUCCUACGGGAGAAAGCAGGGGACCUUCGGGCCUUGCGCUAUCAGAUGAGCCUAGGUCGGAUUAGCUAGUUGGUGGGGUAAUGGCUCACCAAGGCGACGAUCCGUAACUGGUCUGAGAGGAUGAUCAGUCACACUGGAACUGAGACACGGUCCAGACUCCUACGGGAGGCAGCAGUGGGGAAUAUUGGACAAUGGGCGAAAGCCUGAUCCAGCCAUGCCGCGUGUGUGAAGAAGGUCUUCGGAUUGUAAAGCACUUUAAGUUGGGAGGAAGGGCAGUAAGCUAAUACCUUGCUGUUUUGACGUUACCGACAGAAUAAGCACCGGCUAACUCUGUGCCAGCAGCCGCGGUAAUACAGAGGGUGCAAGCGUUAAUCGGAAUUACUGGGCGUAAAGCGCGCGUAGGUGGUUCGUUAAGUUGGAUGUGAAAGCCCCGGGCUCAACCUGGGAACUGCAUCCAAAACUGGCGAGCUAGAGUACGGUAGAGGGUGGUGGAAUUUCCUGUGUAGCGGUGAAAUGCGUAGAUAUAGGAAGGAACACCAGUGGCGAAGGCGACCACCUGGACUGAUACUGACACUGAAGUGCGAAAGCGUGGGGAGCAAACAGGAUUAGAUACCCUG
RNAcentral lists this ribosomal RNA (748 nucleotides) under Pseudomonas plecoglossicida. RNAcentral's name for it is "bacterial SSU rRNA". It matches the Rfam family "Bacterial small subunit ribosomal RNA", at positions 47 to 789 of the family's 1533-position model. Lineage: Bacteria; Pseudomonadati; Pseudomonadota; Gammaproteobacteria; Pseudomonadales; Pseudomonadaceae. The record is from RNAcentral.